GACGAACGCUGGCGGCGUGCUUAACACAUGCAAGUCGAACGGACAGGCCCUGCUGUUGUGGGUUUCUCGAGUGGCGAACGAGUGAGUAACACGUGAGUAACCUGUCCCUGUCUUUGGGAUAACUUCAGGAAACUGGGGCUACUACCGGAUAGGAGCUCCUGCUGCACGUGGGUCGUUGGAAAGUUUCGGCGGUUGGGGAUGUUCUCGCGGCUUAUCAGCUUGUUGGUGGGGUUGUGGAUUACCACGGCUUUGACGGGUAGCCGGCCUGGGAGGGUGACCGGCUACAUUGGGACUGAGGUACGGACCAGUAUGCUACGGUAGGCAGCAGUGGGGAAUAUUGCGCAAUGAGCGGAAGCCUGUUGCAGCAGCGCCGCGUGCGGAAUAACGGGCUUCGUGUUGUAAACCGAUUUCGCCUGUGACAAAGCGUGAGUGACGGUAAUGGGUAAAGAAGCACCGGCUAACUACGUG
Molecule: ribosomal RNA, 468 nt
Filed under: uncultured bacterium
Lineage: Bacteria
Description: partial 16S ribosomal RNA
Rfam family: Bacterial small subunit ribosomal RNA
Source: RNAcentral